Molecule: long non-coding RNA, 1668 nt
Organism: Macaca mulatta (Rhesus monkey)
Lineage: Eukaryota; Metazoa; Chordata; Mammalia; Primates; Cercopithecidae
Source: RefSeq, a predicted model, not a curated record
UUUACUUCAUCCUCCCCAUUUACAUAGGGCGUACCCAAAGCAACCAAUGGAACAAAGAAUUGGACAAAACGCACAAACAAAGCAAGGAAGGAAUGAAGGGUUUUAUUGAAAGUGAAAGUACAGUCCACAGUGUGGGAGUGAGCCUGAUCAGAGGGGCUCAAAGGCCCCGUUAUAGAAUUUUUGGGAGUUUAAAUACCCCCGAGAACCUGGACACCCUCCAUCAUUAACAUAUUUUGGUGACCCAGGAAGGAGGAAGAGAUGUGGAAAUGCAUCUUGUUCUAGUACAUCACAUUCCAGGGAACAAAGAAUUCCUUUACAAAGCCGGGUGUCGUCGUUUUCUUAGAAGAACCACUGCAACGGACAGUCCUACAAUAUAGGGACUUUGAUCAUCUCCAGUGUGCCUAGGAGACAGGCUCACUAGUGAGGAGUGAUGCAGCCCAGGAAUCACAGUGGUGCAUUUUUGGAUCAACAAUCUCAACACUGGUCUCAGUAUCCUAACCCACGUGGGGAGCAACUGGGGACAGAUCACACCACCAUAAUGUUCUACUAAGAAUGUCUUUCCUCCUCUAAGCAGUGCCUGUAAAUAGUGGGUGAUUCUUCGCCACCUCCCUGCUUCGGGAGUGAGCUUGUGACAGACCUGGCCAGUCAGCAAAUUCUCUCCUGCUGAUAAGACCGAUUAGGUCAGAGAUGGGCACGUGCCCUAAGUUUACCCAGUGAGGCUCAGCAGGAGCCUUCUGUUGGGAUUGUUGGGAAGAAUGUGGCACCUCUCUAUUGGGGUGGUGGAGCUGUGUCAGUGAAGAUACGCAGCUCCUAAACAUCACCGAUGGAGAGGGUUUGCUUGAGAAUGAAGCCCAUACAAGGAAAGACACAUUGAGAGAGGAGACAAGCUUGCUGAUAGUCUAAUCAAAGAACCAAGGGAUGCGCUAACCCUAGUCUUCCCAGUGACAACAGAUUCAUUCUGAUUAAUUCAUUAAUCAACUGUGAGCUGAUUAAUAGUUGAUUAAUUACCACAUUUUGCUGAAGGCAUUCGAGUGGUGUUCCUGCUAUUUUUAACCAGAGUCCUGUUGGAUACAGUAUACACAACUGUGAGCCCUCAUCUUCUCUGUCUACCUCUAGGUACAGACCAGAGGGAAAGGAGGCAAUGGGGCUGAGCCCCAUCCCUGUGUGUACUGUUUUUGCCUUACUGCAGAUAGCACUGCCUCGUUCUGGUCUGUGGCUUUUGUCUCUGGAGACGGAAUCCUUGGCCCCCAACAGUAUCUAUAUCCUAAUCCUUGGGACCUGUCUCCUGGCACAGGAGACUUUGCAGGUGUGCUGAAGGUAAGGAUUUCGAGAUGGGGAAAUUAUUAUGGAUUAUCCAAGCAAGUGCUAAAUAUAAUCAAAAUAGGGAGACAGGAGGAUGAGAAACAAGACACAUAUAUGACAGUGGAUGCAGAGGUGAAAGGAAGGGAGAGGGAGAAAGAAGAAGAGAGGGAGACAUUUGACUCUGUUGGCCUUGAAGAUGGAGGAAGUUACUCUGAGCCAAGGAGUGAAGAUAGCCUCUAGAAGCCGGAAGAGGCAAGAAAAGGAUUUCUCUCCUGGAGCCCUGGCAGGGAUGCUGCCCUGCUGACACCUUCAUUUUGAGAAUUAUGACCUCCAGCAUGAUAGAGCAAUAAAUGUGUUUUAAGCCAC